Long non-coding RNA from Oreochromis aureus, 509 nucleotides. The record is from Ensembl. NCBI's taxonomy places the organism in Eukaryota, Metazoa, Chordata, Actinopteri, Cichliformes, Cichlidae.
GUCUAAACCAGAGAGCCCAAAAUACUCUUCUACGGAAAGCAACACUUCAGUCCAGCCUAUUGGCUACUAGACUGAGAUAGGUUGUUGAAAAUAUCACAGCUAGCCUACGCAGCGCCUGGAGUCCUCCCCGUGCCUUGGGAAGGCUUGGAAGUGGACGGACUGGAUGGUGCAACAGAGUCAAUAAAUCCAUUUCUGUCUGAGAUGCACCAGGUCUCUUGUUUCCUCAAAGCAAAGCAAAGGAACAAAUCCAGGUCAAUUAAAAUAAGGAAGAGGAGGAAGAGUUGAGUGGCUGGCUAAGGAGCAAAGCCAUCACCGGGAUCUACCACAAGAGGGCACAAGGAGCUUGGAUAGUGCUUUCAAAACUUGGGAGAAGGAACCUGCAAAAGGAGCUUGGUCGCAGCCCAGAUUACAUGCCGAUAUCCAUAAAGCUUUUGAAGUUUAUGGAAUCUUUUCCAGAGAGGAAUAUCCCAUCAGUUGUCACAGUAAACAAAAUAAAAAAAUGAUGUAAG